ACUUGGUUUGCAAGCCAGGUUCACACUUGAGCCUUGUGAUUGGACCAAAUGAUUCAGCUGCUUGGGAGGGCAACAAGUAUUGGCGCAUAUGUGAAACGUGGAGAAGAGACUGGUUGUAUUAAAAUAUCCUUGAGAGGAAAUACUUAAGAUGAUCGGAUCACCAUCAUGCGCAAAAUUGAUACACAUAACAAGUCAGAAUGGUUGUACAGUGGUUAGAUAUUUGGCACUUGCCAUAGCAUUGCAUUUCAUGGUCCAGUUUGAUUCAGGUUUUAGACGGGGAUGACUCAUUAGAACUUAUCUUUUACCCUCUUGUACUUGCUUCAUUAUCAAAUGAAAGAGAUGGUCUUAACAGAA
Molecule: long non-coding RNA, 354 nt
Organism: Hevea brasiliensis (rubber tree)
Lineage: Eukaryota; Viridiplantae; Streptophyta; Magnoliopsida; Malpighiales; Euphorbiaceae
Exons: 2
Source: RefSeq, a predicted model, not a curated record